CCUACGGGUGGCAGCAGUCGAGAAUCAUUCACAAUGGGGGCAACCCUGAUGGUGCGAUGCCGCGUGGGUGAAUGAAGCCCUUCGGAUUGUAAAUCCCUGCCAUGUGGGAGCAAAUUAUAAAGAUAGUACCCCCAGCGGUAGACACUGCUAACUCUGUGCCCGCAGCCGCGGUAAUACAGAGGUCGCAAGCGUUGUUCGGAAUCACGGGGCGUAAAGCGUGCGUAGGCUGUUUCGUAAGUCGUGUGUGAAAGGCUCGGGCUCAACCCGGGGACGGCAGAUGAUACUGGGAGACUAGAGUAAUGGAGAGGGGGGCAGAAUUCUAGGUGUAGCAGUGAAAUGCGUAGAGAUCGGGAGGAACACUCGUGGCGAAGGCGGGUUCCUGGAC
RNAcentral lists this ribosomal RNA (385 nucleotides) under uncultured bacterium. RNAcentral describes it as "partial 16S ribosomal RNA". It matches the Rfam family "Bacterial small subunit ribosomal RNA", at positions 338 to 734 of the family's 1533-position model. The record is from RNAcentral.